Molecule: ribosomal RNA, 666 nt
Filed under: Sclerophytum eilatense
Lineage: Eukaryota; Metazoa; Cnidaria; Anthozoa; Malacalcyonacea; Sarcophytidae
Description: partial 28S ribosomal RNA
Rfam family: Eukaryotic large subunit ribosomal RNA
Source: RNAcentral
AAACCGUUGAAAGGGAAGCGAAUGGAGUUAGCAAUUCGCCCUGCCAGAUUCAGUUUUUCGCACUUCGCGACGUGCACGCUCUCGAUCCGCAUGGACGAGACGUGCACGGACGCGACGUGUGGACGGCGCACUUCUGGCGGGCGAGCGUCAGCGUCGCUCGUCGACGGGCGACAAAGUCGCGAGGAAGGUAGACGUGCCUUCGGGCGCGUUGUUAAGACUCGCGUUCGCAUGGCUCGACGACGACCGUGGCUCCUUCAUGCGGAGGCGACGCGUGCCUGGCUGGCGACUCGUGCGAUCGGUCCGGCAUGUCGACCGUGGCGGACGGCACGCCUGUGCGCUCGAACUGCUGCCGGUCGCUCGCACGAUGUUCGCACACUACGCGUCGAAGACGCUGACGACCAUACGGCUCCAUCCGACCCGUCUUGAAACACGGACCAAGGAGUCUAACAUGUGCGCGAGUCUCCGGGUGAUCGAAACCCGUGGGCGCAAUGAAAGUAAAGGCCGUCCCAGACGGCUGAGGUGAGAAGCGCGCCUCUUCUCGACGCGCGCCGCAUCAUCGACCGACCUAUUCUGCUCUCAGAGAGGUUUGAGUAAGAGCGUAUCUGUUGGGACCCGAAAGAUGGUGAACUAUGCCUGAAUAGGGUGAAGCCAGCGGAAACACUGGUG